Serinus canaria (Common canary) is the source of this 1223-nucleotide non-coding RNA. The record is from the annotation of a RefSeq genome assembly. Lineage: Eukaryota; Metazoa; Chordata; Aves; Passeriformes; Fringillidae.
UCUGCUUCUGCCAGUUGCCGCCCCAACAAGAAUGGUUUCACCCAAAUUUGGAUUGUUAGUUUAAUGCAGUUUGAAAUUUUAGGAGUGGCACAGCAUGGCUUGGAGUGCUGACACAUACACAGACAUAAGAACUCAUGGACACCCAGACAGAAACACACAGCCAUGGUCACAUGGACACACAGACAGGUCUCUGCAGGCCAGUGCACACCUGCUCUCCACUGAGCUGCAACACAUUGGUUUUAUUGACACAGAGAAAGGCUGUGGCUUUAUGCCCUGGACCUGUAUCCGUGUGUGUGGAUUUCUUUCCAGUGUCCUAAAGGACAAUUCGGGAGUCCCCACAGGAGAGCAAAGGGAGAAAGAGAGGGAACUGACAAUGGGAGAGAAGGAAACCCAGGAGCCGUCAAUCGUGAGCUCCACGAUCCCUGCCCGAUCCCCUGCCCCCCAGCCCGACCCCGCCGCUUCCGACGUGCAGAGAGCCGAGCGCCGCCCCGCACCCCCCGCGCUCGCCUCCCCUCCGUUCCCUGCCAGCACUCGGCGAGAGCCCGAGCGGCAGCGGCGCAGGGCUCAGCCCCGGGGCGGAGCUGGCGGCGGCCCAGAGGAGGCGGCUCGGCCGCAGCAGAGCCGGGGCUCAGGGCUACAGCGAGACUCGGCCGGCGGAGCGGCGGCAUGCGGCGGUAUCGGGGCGCGGGGCUGGCGGCACUGGCCGCGCUGCUGCUCGUGACUUCAGGCAGAACCCAGGUGCAGCAGGAGCCAUUCCUGGAGAUCACCGAGGGCACCGGCAUCAACAUCACCUGCUCACACCCAAAUAAACUGAGCGGCUAUUACAUCCAUUUCUACCGUCUGCUCCCUGGCCGAGGACCCGAACUCCUCGUGAGCGCUGCUAGUGGCUCCAAGGAUGUGCCGGCCAUUGCAGGAAAGCUGUCGGUGUCGGAGGACGGGCGUUCGAGCGCGCUGUGGCUCGCUGGGCCCCGGCGCGGGGACGCGGCCGUGUAUUACUGCGCGCUGGGGGCCACGGCCAGAGGAGCCGGGGCUGCGGCCGGGCACGAACCGCCGCGGGCGGGGCCGGCCGGGGCCAGCAGGGGGCGCUGCCGCUCCGCCCUCCCGGGCCGCGGCUCCGCAGCUCCUUCCUCUGCCCCGAGCCCGCCCCACCGACAGCGCCAAUGACAGCGAAAAGGCCGGCACACUCCGGGCCGGAUUGCCCUCACUUCAACUGCUAUUGCUUC